GUCCACGCCGUAAACGAUGGAUACUAGCUGUUCGGGACCUUGAGUUCUGAGCGGCUAAGCGAAAGUGAUAAGUAUCCCACCUGGGGAGUACGUUCGCAAGAAUGAAACUCAAAGGAAUUGACGGGGGCCCGCACAAGCGGUGGAGCAUGUGGUUUAAUUCGAUGAUACGCGAGGAACCUUACCAGGGCUUAAAUGUAGUCUGACAGCUUUAGAGAUAGAGUUUUCUUCGGACAGAUUACAAGGUGCUGCAUGGUU
Molecule: ribosomal RNA, 255 nt
Filed under: uncultured bacterium
Lineage: Bacteria
Also listed under: 1 other name
Description: partial 16S ribosomal RNA
Rfam family: Bacterial small subunit ribosomal RNA
Source: RNAcentral